CGAAUCCUCCAGUCGAGCGGCGAACGGGUGAGUAACGCGUGGAUGACCUGCCUUUUGGUGGGGGAUAACCCGGGGAAACUCGGGCUAAUACCGCAUGAGAUCGAAAGAUGAAAGGGGCGCAAGUCCCGCCGGAAGAGGGGUCCGCGUACGAUUAGCUAGUUGGUAGGGUAAUGGCCUACCAAGGCGACGAUCGUUAGCCGGCCUGAGAGGGUGAUCGGCCACACUGGAACUGAGACACGGUCCAG
Molecule: ribosomal RNA, 245 nt
Filed under: uncultured bacterium
Lineage: Bacteria
Description: partial 16S ribosomal RNA
Rfam family: Bacterial small subunit ribosomal RNA
Source: RNAcentral